UUUUAUUUGAGAGUUUGAUCCUGGCUCAGGAUGAACGCUGGCGGCGUGCCUAACACAUGCAAGUUGAGCGAUUUACUUCGGUAAAGAGCGGCGGACGGGUGAGUAACGCGUGGGUAACCUACCCUGUACACACGGAUAACAUACCGAAAGGUAUGCUAAUACGGGAUAAUAUAUUUGAGAGGCAUCUCUUGAAUAUCAAAGGUGAGCCAGUACAGGAUGGACCCGCGUCUGAUUAGCUAGUUGGUAAGGUAACGGCUUACCAAGGCGACGAUCAGUAGCCGACCGGAGAGGGUGAUCGGCCACAUUGGAACUGAGACACGGUCCAAACUCCUACGGGAGGCAGCAGUGGGGAAUAUUGCACAAUGGGCGAAAGCCUGAUGCAGCAACGCCGCGUGAGUGAUGAAGGCCUUCGGGUCGUAAAACUCUGUCCUCAAGGAAGAUAAUGACGGUACUUGAGGAGGAAGCCCCGGCUAACUACGUGCCAGCAGCCGCGGUAAUACGUAGGGGGCUAGCGUUAUCCGGAUUUACUGGGCGUAAAGGG
Molecule: ribosomal RNA, 541 nt
Filed under: Clostridioides difficile
Lineage: Bacteria; Bacillati; Bacillota; Clostridia; Peptostreptococcales; Peptostreptococcaceae
Description: bacterial SSU rRNA
Rfam family: Bacterial small subunit ribosomal RNA
Source: RNAcentral